Molecule: ribosomal RNA, 497 nt
Filed under: uncultured bacterium
Lineage: Bacteria
Description: partial 16S ribosomal RNA
Rfam family: Bacterial small subunit ribosomal RNA
Source: RNAcentral
GAUGAACGCUGGCGGCGUGCCUAGUACAUGCAAGUCGAGCGAACAGACGAGGAGCUUGCUCCUCUGACGUUAGCGGCGGACGGGUGAGUAACACGUGGAUAACCUACCUAUAAGACUGGGAUAACUUCGGGAAACCGGAGCUAAUACCGGAUAAUAUAUUGAACCGCAUGGUUCAAUAGUGAAAGACGGUUUUGCUGUCACUUAUAGAUGGAUCCGCGCCGCAUUAGCUAGUUGGUAAGGUAACGGCUUACCAAGGCAACGAUGCGUAGCCGACCUGAGAGGGUGGUCGGCCACACUGGAGCUGGGACACGGUCCAGACUCCUACGAGAGGCAGCAGUAGGGUAUCUUCCGCAAUGGGCGAAAGCCUGACGGAGCAACGCCGCGUGAGUGAUGAAGGUCUUCGGAGCGUAAAGCUCUGUUAUUAGGGAAGAACAAAUGUGUAAGUAACUGUGCACGGCGUGACGGUACCUAAUCAGAAAGCCACGGCUAACUACGUG